This 347-nucleotide ribosomal RNA is filed under the name Bronchocela cristatella (Green crested lizard). RNAcentral describes it as "partial 12S ribosomal RNA". It matches the Rfam family "Bacterial small subunit ribosomal RNA", at positions 871 to 1404 of the family's 1533-position model. The record is from RNAcentral. Lineage: Eukaryota; Metazoa; Chordata; Lepidosauria; Squamata; Agamidae.
GCCAAAAAACUACAAGUGAAAACUUCAAACUUAAAGGACCUGGCGGUGCUCCACAUCAGUCUAGAGGGGCCCGUCCAAUAAUCGAAACCACGCGAUAACCCAACCUCUUCUAGCCUCACAGUCUAUAUACCGCCGUCGAAAGCACGUCUUACAAAAGACGCAGCUAAAAAGUUAACAACACUAGCACGUCAGGUCAAGGUGUAACAUAUGAACAGGACAGGAUUGGCCACAGUAAAAACCUCAAAUGCAGUGAAAACUGCAACUAACCAAAAUUUAGCAGUAAAAAAACUUAUGAACAAUUUUCUGAACUACUGCCCUAAAGCACGCACACACCGCCCGUCACCCUC